Molecule: unclassified non-coding RNA, 214 nt
Filed under: Hevea brasiliensis (rubber tree)
Lineage: Eukaryota; Viridiplantae; Streptophyta; Magnoliopsida; Malpighiales; Euphorbiaceae
Source: RNAcentral
CAUGGACACUGUGCUUAUAGUGAAGAAUGGGGGCACCGAAGCAACAAGCAUCCGCCCACCCCCUUCCUAUAUGCCUCCUUGUUCCAAGUCCUAGAUGUGAUGCUACGCCUCAAUCUUUCAUUUAGAAGUCUUUCAGGAAUGUCUCGAAUUAGUUUUAGUAGCUAUAGUCAUAUAAUUCACCUUAUAAACUCAAGUUGAGUCUUUAUUUCUUAAA